UGGGGAAUCUUCCGCAAAUGGGGCGCAAGCCUGACGGAGCAACGCCGCGUGAGUGAAGAAGGGUUUCGACUCGUAAAGCUCUGUUGUCGGGGACGAAUGUGGAGGUUGUGAAUAACAGCUUCCAAUGACGGUACCUGACGAGCAAGCCACGGCUAACUACGUGCCAGCAGCCGCGGUAAUACGUAGGUGGCAAGCGUUGUCCGGAAUUAUUGGGCGUAAAGCGCGCGCAGGCGGCUUCUUAAAGUCCAUCUUAAAAGUGCGGGGCUUAACCCCGUGAUGGGAUGGAAACUGAGAGGCUGGAGUAUCGGAGAGGAAAGUGGAAUUCCUAGUGUAGCGGUGAAAUGCGUAGAGAUUAGGAAGAACACCGGU
This 369-nucleotide ribosomal RNA is filed under the name uncultured Dialister sp. Its description in RNAcentral is "bacterial SSU rRNA". It matches the Rfam family "Bacterial small subunit ribosomal RNA", at positions 355 to 713 of the family's 1533-position model. The record is from RNAcentral. Lineage: Bacteria; Bacillati; Bacillota; Negativicutes; Veillonellales; Veillonellaceae.